This 283-nucleotide long non-coding RNA is filed under the name Helianthus annuus (common sunflower). RNAcentral describes it as "sRNA HanXRQr2_Chr01g0021661". The record is from RNAcentral. Lineage: Eukaryota; Viridiplantae; Streptophyta; Magnoliopsida; Asterales; Asteraceae.
UAAACCAGUUUAUAUGAAACAAAAAAAAAAUAAAAAUGUUAGAAUUGAGAAACAAAAAGAAAAAAAAUGUAAAUAAAAUAAAAUCAGAAAAAGAGAAUGAUCAGUUAGACCAUCUAAUACUAAUUUAGCCAUCACUCUGGCAAAUCAAACCAAUAGGGAAUCUAUUAAUCAUCACUUCAUUCUCACCUUCUUCUGAUAAAUAAACAAUUUUCCAUAAUCCAAAAACUACAAUAAUAAAAUACAUACAUAUAUUUAUCAGAUAUAUAUAUGUAUAUAUACAAAA